Long non-coding RNA from Cervus elaphus (red deer), 446 nucleotides. RefSeq lists it as uncharacterized. The transcript has 4 exons. Lineage: Eukaryota; Metazoa; Chordata; Mammalia; Artiodactyla; Cervidae. The record is from RefSeq and is a predicted model, not a curated record.
GCCUCCGCAGAGAGGCGUGGCUUUCCGCUCGGCCGCCGCAGCCGCAGUUGUAGCUGCGGCGACGACUAGGGGCGGGGCCGGUGGCUGCAAGAGCCCGCCAUAUGUUCCUAAACCUAUGGAGGCCACAAACCCUUUAAGGAGCUGAUGAAAGUGAUGAACCUUUGCACUAGAAAAAUGUACACAUUCGAAGAGGAUUUCAAGCCUCAGAAAUACCCCAAUGUUUAUCUCCAAUGAUGGAAGAGGAAGAUUAAAACAAUAAUCUGCAGAAAAGCCCUGACUUUCCAGAGAUCUAAAGUGUAAUGCAACCGUAUGUGGUUGAGAAGUUCGAAUCUUGGCUGCCUUCGCCCCUCUGCACAAACAGAAACCCCGGUUUUCGGGGACCGUGAUCUCAUCGUGUCGCUCUCACUUUUGAAGGUCUGUUAAAAGUCUGGGGCCUCUUAUCUCAA